AAUGGGCGCAAGCCUGAUCUAGCCAUGCCGCGUGAGUGAUGAAGGCCUUAGGGUCGUAAAGCUCUUUCGCCUGUGAAGAUAAUGACUGUAGCAGGUAAAGAAACCCCGGCUAACUCCGUGCCAGCAGCCGCGGUAAUACGGAGGGGGUUAGCGUUGUUCGGAAUUACUGGGCGUAAAGCGCGCGUAGGCGGACAUUUAAGUCAGAGGUGAAAUCCCAGGGCUCAACCCUGGAACUGCCUUUGAUACUGGGUGUCUUGAGUUCGAGAGAGGUGAGUGGAAUUCCGAGUGUAGAGGUGAAAUUCGUAGAUAUUCGGAGGAACACCAGUGGCGAAGGCGGCUCACUGGCUCGAUACUGACGCUGAGGUGCGAAAGUGAGGGGAGCAAACAGGAUU
Molecule: ribosomal RNA, 392 nt
Filed under: uncultured Gammaproteobacteria bacterium
Lineage: Bacteria; Pseudomonadati; Pseudomonadota; Gammaproteobacteria
Description: bacterial SSU rRNA
Rfam family: Bacterial small subunit ribosomal RNA
Source: RNAcentral